RNAcentral lists this ribosomal RNA (318 nucleotides) under Corbicula sp. Mad4b. Its description in RNAcentral is "partial 28S ribosomal RNA". The record is from RNAcentral. Lineage: Eukaryota; Metazoa; Mollusca; Bivalvia; Venerida; Cyrenidae.
CCUGGCGCCCAGCGGCGCUCGGAUUCGGAGGAGCAAGGACCGAUACGCGUCGGCGUGCCAGGGUGCACCUUCUCCGCGGUCGAGUGCUACGACCGGUUUCGCGGCGGUCAGAAGCCCGGCGGAAAGGUAGCGCCGCCCCUCGGGGUGUCGUGUUAUAGGCCGCCGCGGUGGACUCGCCGCGAGACCGAGGACGCUUGCCGCGCCGAGCGGUCCCGGGCCGUCUUGGGAGGUUCGACCUCGGCUGCACUGCUCCGCAGAGCACCGUAACCGCCGCCCUAGCACGGGUCCGGAGACUGCCGGCGCCUCGGGUCAGUAGCG